This 600-nucleotide ribosomal RNA is filed under the name uncultured Enterobacteriaceae bacterium. Its description in RNAcentral is "bacterial SSU rRNA". It matches the Rfam family "Bacterial small subunit ribosomal RNA", at positions 1 to 616 of the family's 1533-position model. The record is from RNAcentral. Lineage: Bacteria; Pseudomonadati; Pseudomonadota; Gammaproteobacteria; Enterobacterales; Enterobacteriaceae.
UCGGCUUAGAGUUUGAUCAUGGCUCAGAUUGAACGCUGGCGGCAGGCUUAACACAUGCAAGUCGAACGGUAAAGUAGCUUGCUACUUACGAGUGGCGGACGGGUGAGUAACGUAUGGGAAUUUACCGAAUGGAGGGGGACAACAGUUGGAAACGGCUGCUAAUACCGCAUAACGUCGAGAGACCAAAGGGUUUCGACUUGCCAUUUGAUGAGCCCAUAUGAGAUUAGCUAGUUGGUGUGGUAAUAGCUCACCAAGGCGACGAUCUCUAGCUGGUUUGAGAGGAUGACCAGCCACACUGGGACUGAGACACGGCCCAGACUCCUACGGGAGGCAGCAGUGGGGAAUAUUGCACAAUGGGGGGAACCCUGAUGCAGCCAUGCCGCGUGUAUGAAGAAGGCCUUAGGGUUGUAAAGUACUUUCGUGGAGGAGGAAGGGUUUACGUAAUCGUGGACAUUGACGUUACUCCAAGAAGAAGCACCGGCUAACUCCGUGCCAGCAGCCGCGGUAAUACGGAGGGUGCGAGCGUUAAUCGAAUGACUGGGCGUAAAGGGCAUGUAGGCGGAUGAUUAAGUUAGAUGUGAAAUCCCUGGGCUUAACCUA